Molecule: regulatory RNA element, 59 nt
Organism: Rhodococcus equi ATCC 33707
Lineage: Bacteria; Bacillati; Actinomycetota; Actinomycetes; Mycobacteriales; Nocardiaceae
Rfam family: Actino-pnp RNA
Source: Rfam
GUCGGUCUUCGGUAGUGGCCAUCCGGACGAGUUCCGGCCGGCUUCGAUCGACGGCCGCC